CAGUCGCCGCGGUAAUACGAUGGGGGCUAGCGUUGCUCGGAAUGACUGGGCGUAAAGGGCGCGUAGGUGGUGGUUUAAGUCCGUUGUGAAAGCCCUGGGCUCAACCUGGGAAUUGCAGUGGAUACUGGGUCACUAGAGUGUGGUAGAGGAUAGUGGAAUUUCCGGUGUAGCAGUGAAAUGCGUAGAGAUCGGAAGGAACAUCUGUGGCGAAGGCGACUAUCUGGGCCAACACUGACACUGAGGCACGAAAGCGUGGGGAGCAAACAGGAUUAGAUACCCCGGUAGUCCCUGUCUCUUAUAC
Molecule: ribosomal RNA, 301 nt
Filed under: uncultured bacterium
Lineage: Bacteria
Description: partial 16S ribosomal RNA
Rfam family: Bacterial small subunit ribosomal RNA
Source: RNAcentral